Molecule: non-coding RNA, 789 nt
Organism: Electrophorus electricus (electric eel)
Lineage: Eukaryota; Metazoa; Chordata; Actinopteri; Gymnotiformes; Gymnotidae
Source: RefSeq, a predicted model, not a curated record
AGGUCUGCGCACUGUGUACUGUUAGUGCUUCAGUGUUGUUAGCAGAUAGCAUAGGGCAUGGGUUUGAGGCUGUUUGGCGAAACUCGUACAACCAUAAGAAUGAUUUGAUCGCCAAUACGUUUGGACAUCAUGGAAAGGAAGAUGCUUAUUUUAGCUGAAGUUUAUGUGGAGUUGUUUGCUUGCUGCUAGCAUGAACUAGCUUCGAUGUUUUCAUAGCAAAUCACUGGAUGUUACCAUUCACUGCUUGAAAAAAUCGUAAUCCUGCUACAAAUUAUGGGUCUGACUGCUGGUUCCCUGAAAUUGGUCUAUCAUAAUAACUCCUGGACUGUCCUAAUUAAGACUCCUCUCUGUCACUCACUCACACACUCUUCUCACAUUCAUUUUUCCCUGACACAGUCUUGACACAUUUUUUGCUUGUGUUUUCAUUCCUUUCACUCACACACUCUCUCCAUCAGGAACACAAACACACCACACAAACAUAACACCAGUGAAAUCCAAAACCAACUCUAAGUCCUUUACAACUACAUGUGGAUGAGAGUUCAUGAAGAGUGGUAACGUUUUCUUGACUUUUCACUAUGUACUAAAAGCACAGACUACAGGGAAAUUUAACAAACAAAUGUCAGUUAAUAAAGAGCUCUUCUUACCUCACUGUACCAAGUCUCAUCAGCACUGUGGGAACAGAGGAAAAUAAACUUAGAAGAAACAGCUUUGAGGUUUUAAACUUGUGAACUGUCUGUGGUGUAUUUAAUGAUGUUAAUUUUAGUGUAUUAAAAUUCUCUUCCUGUUUUA